RNAcentral lists this unclassified non-coding RNA (1776 nucleotides) under Drosophila pseudoobscura pseudoobscura. RNAcentral describes it as "GA17806". The record is from RNAcentral. Lineage: Eukaryota; Metazoa; Arthropoda; Insecta; Diptera; Drosophilidae.
GGCCAGUGUUGCGUAUUAUUUUGCAACACGACCAGUACCGGAACAACCAUUAGUGCCUCUGGAAAACCAAUCCCCAUUGUUAGAGGCAUCGUGCUUCGAAUCACAAUAAAUAUGCAGAAAUUAAUAGAGACCCACUUUGAACCAGCUGAAACCACUUUACAAACAGUUUCAUUGAAUUGGAUUGAAUCAUCUGCCUUCGAUUAUAAUCCCUAAUUCUGAAUACCCCAUCAAGUGUCAAACCAACUGCUCCACCUUUUCAUGUACCCCCGAGUCCCCCCAUGAGAAUUCACAAAAAUAACAAACAAUGAGAUGGCUACAACCAACAAAACAAUAAGGAAAUGUCAAACUUUUGACGAGACAGGGCCAACCUGUCUGCCUCCGAGCACACGUAUGCACAUACUCGCAUGCAAAUCUUCAGAAUAGAUUGUACGUGUGUGGGGACAGCAGGGGAAUGAGGGGGCUUGCGCACACACACAGCCGGCCAUUUUCACUUGCACUGACCGUUUUCCAAUACGAGACGGACCAUUAAAAAUUCAAAAGAGUGCAAAUUGAGGUGUAAAUCGAGGGGAUGUGCGUGUGAGCAAAUUGGAUUUGCAGGCACAGGUUAUAUAGUAUUUACUCAUAAUUGAGUGCGUGCUGAUUAAACCCAAAAUUAUAUUGUACAUUUUUGGGGGCUGUCGACUUUUUGUUCCACUCAUGGGCUAGAAUGGGCUCCAGUGUUGUGGACCAUAAAUCAUAUACAUACAUACUCGUACAUGUGUAUGUAAGUUUUGAUGAGUAUUUGCCGUCACCAAAAACGCCCCCACCUUUGGCCCAUUAGCAACAGACCACGUCACAUGCCGCCUUAGAUCGCGUGCACCAGAAACAGGCAGAGCAGGGCUGGGCAAGGGAGGGCGGGGGCAGCAGGCAGGAAGACAGGCGGACAGCUUGAUCAAGCCAAAAAGGAAAAACUACAAGACAACUACAAAGCAACAACAACAACGACAACGACAACGAAGAGACUAUGAAAAACCGUUUACGAGUAAAAUCAAAAUCAAAAUCCAAUGAAUAUAAACGAAUGAAAUUCCUAGGCGAACGCUGCAUUCUUCUUCACAGUACCCCCAUCUCCGGCGCCCCAUCUCUCUUUCUCUUUUCGCCACUUCGCUCCCUCUCCCUCUCUCUCUUUUCUGUUUCGGUUGAUACCAAAUUGAAGAAGAUUCUGCGGGCGGGCCAAAAUAAUUUUUAGCCGCGGCCAAUAUUUCGGCCUGCCUCCUUCGGCCAUUCAGUUCGAAAUUAAGCAUCGUGUCGCGCAGAUCGUGGCGGAUCAACGGAAUAUACAUAUGUGCAUAUAUUUCAGAAAAGAAGAUUUUGAGAAAAAACAGAAAAAUAACGAAACGGAAAACAACAAAAGCAGAUAGUAUAUAUCUGUGAAAUAAACUUGCUCGUAAGAUGUGCAUAUUAAAGGCUGAUCCAUAAGACCCAGCCAGAACAGUGGUGCCUGAAAACGGAGCAGAAGUCAAAUCAGUAAGACCGUGAACAAACCGUGAACCGUGAGACUCAGACAGCCGUGAGAUCCACAACAAAACAUGUCUUGUUGCGGUCAAAUCACCAGCAUACGGGUGCCCAUCGAGCUGAGCAAUCAGAGCGAUGUGCUCAAGGUAAUCCUCAAGAAUCCUCAAGGAAGAGUCCCCCCAAAGUCCCCCUAAACAAAAAAAAACAAACUAAAAGACCAAAGAAUAUCUCUAACCCAGCAGCUUGACUAUGCAAUCCACUAAUAAAUACUUUAUUUUUUGCUUC